Molecule: ribosomal RNA, 497 nt
Filed under: uncultured bacterium
Lineage: Bacteria
Description: partial 16S ribosomal RNA
Rfam family: Bacterial small subunit ribosomal RNA
Source: RNAcentral
GACGAACGCUGGCGGCGUGCCUAAUACAUGCAAGUUGAGCGCUGAAGGUGGGUACUUGUACCAACUGGAUGAGCAGCGAACGGGUGAGUAACGCGUGGGGAAUCUGCCUUUGAGCGGGGGACAACAUUUGGAAACGAAUGCUAAUACCGCAUAAAAACUUUAAACACAAGUUUUAAGUUUGAAAGAUGCAAUUGCAUCACUCAAAGACGAUCCCGCGUUGUAUUAGCUAGUUGGUGAGGUAAAGGCCCACCCAGGCGAUGAUACAUAGCCGACCUGAGAGGGUGAUCGGCCACAUUGGGAAUGAGAAAAGGCCCAAAACCCUAAGGGAGGCAGCAGUAGGGAAUCUUCGGCAAUGGACGAAAGUCUGACCGAGCAACGCCGCGUGAGUGAAGAAGGUUUUCGGAUCGUAAAACUCUGUUGGUAGAGAAGAACGUUGGUGAGGGUGGAAAGCUCAUCAAGUGACGGUAACUACCCAGAAAGGGACGGCUAACUACGUG